RNAcentral lists this ribosomal RNA (447 nucleotides) under uncultured bacterium. Its description in RNAcentral is "bacterial SSU rRNA". It matches the Rfam family "Bacterial small subunit ribosomal RNA", at positions 354 to 796 of the family's 1533-position model. The record is from RNAcentral.
GUCUAGAAGCUUCGGCAAUGGGCGAAAGCCUGACCGAGCGACGCCGCGUGUGGGAUGAAGCAUCUUGGUGUGUAAACCACUUUCGACGGGGAAGAAGGCCUUGAUGGCGAAUCAGGGAUUGACGGUACCCGGAGAAGAAGCACCGGCUAACUCCGUGCCAGCAGCCGCGGUAAUACGGGGGGUGCGAGCGUUAUUCGGAUUUAUUGGGCGUAAAGGGCGCGUAGGCGGCCGUGUAAGUCUGGUGUGAAAACGCUACCGCUCAACGGAGCGAAUGCGCUGGAUACUGCAUGGCUUGAGUGCAAGAGAGGUAAGCGGAAUACCUGGUGUAGCGGUGGAAUGCGUAGAUAUCAGGUGGAAUACCGGUGGCGAAGGCGGCUUACUGGCUUGCAACUGACGCUGAGGCGCGAAAGCGUGGGGAGCAAACGGGAUUAGAAACCCGAGUAGUCC